This 274-nucleotide ribosomal RNA is filed under the name uncultured bacterium. Its description in RNAcentral is "partial 16S ribosomal RNA". It matches the Rfam family "Bacterial small subunit ribosomal RNA", at positions 523 to 796 of the family's 1533-position model. The record is from RNAcentral.
AUACGAAGGGAGCUAGCGUUGUUCGGAAUUACUGGGCGAAAAGCGCACGUAGGCGGACUUGUUAGUCAGGGGUGAAAUCCCGGGGCCCAACCUCGGAACUGCCUUUGAUACUGCAAGUCUGGAGUCCGGAAGAGGUGGGUGGAAUUCCUAGUGUAGAGGUGAAAUUCGUAGAUAUUAGGAAGAACACCGGUGGCGAAGGCGGCCCACUGGUCCGGUACUGACGCUGAGGUGCGAAAGCGUGGGGAGCAAACAGGAUUAGAUACCCCAGUAGUCC